CGUGAUCACCACCACCAUCACCAUCACCACCACCACGAUGACCGUGAUCUCCACGAACUCCAGCUCCGCUGCGGGGAAGCACACACGUGAGGCCGGCGGCAGAACCACCCCCCAGAAGCCCCUGGCCUCUGCCUCUGCCGGCACAGCGUCUGCAGGACACCCGCCGUGCCACGCCCCAUGUCUGCUUGCUGUCAAGAAAUCAGGACGCCCCAGGACCAGGACACAGUCCACAG
This is a long non-coding RNA of Talpa occidentalis (Iberian mole), 233 nucleotides long. RefSeq lists it as uncharacterized. The transcript has 3 exons. The record is from RefSeq and is a predicted model, not a curated record. Lineage: Eukaryota; Metazoa; Chordata; Mammalia; Eulipotyphla; Talpidae.